AAAGAAAACACAAUUGACCAAUGAUCAUGUGCCACUGUCCCUCCAUGUAAUAGAUGAUGAUGAUGAAUGAUGUGCUGUUGCUGUGUUCAGCUGGAAGACAGAGAUAUGGGGGUGUCUAGGAAGGCAGGAGAUGGUAGAAGUAGACAUACAGAGCUGUGAGGGGAACACAGCUGACUGACGACACCAGCAGCAGCCCGAUGAAGAGCUGGCCAAAGACAGGAUACUCCAACACCACUGACUUACCCUGAGGAAACAACAGAUCAACUGGUUAGUAGAGGAUCACACUCAUACCUCUCCAAAACCCUGCUUACUUUAUGCACAGCGUGGAUACCUUCAUUAAUUAUUUAAAUCUUUCAGCACAACACCAGGACUUAAUGGUAACUGACCUUGUGUGUUUUUCUAAACACUAACUAGAAAAUCUCCAAACCCCGUUUUGUAUUUGUUGUUUAAUCAUGUAUGACUAUCAUGACUGCUUAAUUUGAAUUUCUUCUGUUUGAUGUUCAGUUUAUGUUCAUUGGGUUAUAAAGAUAUGAAUAAGUCAGAUAUGCAGAGAAGGAGCAGAUAGAAUGCAUAGUUUAAAUGUAUUACUUAGCUUUUAUUAAUUGUUUGCACAACUAUAACCAUAUUUUACUCAUUAUUUCAGCAGAUGCAGCACCAACAUACAUCAGCUGCCUGUUCACACUACCACUGACAGCAUAUUUAGGGUAAUGAUGUAAAUUAAUAUUUGUGUUGUACAUUUGUAUUUUGGAACUUCACAUAGGUUAAUUUUUUCUCUUUCUCUCAGAGACCUCAGCCUCUCUCCUCCCGUUUCACCUGCUUUUAAAGGGGAUGUAAAUGGACUGUACUAGUCUGCUGACCACUCAAAGGGCUUUACAUUACAUAUCACAUUCACCCACUGAUGGCAGAUGAUAACUGCUCAUCAGUUUAAAGAAACUAACUAAUUAUU
Long non-coding RNA from Siniperca chuatsi (mandarin fish), 946 nucleotides. RefSeq lists it as uncharacterized. NCBI's taxonomy places the organism in Eukaryota, Metazoa, Chordata, Actinopteri, Centrarchiformes, Sinipercidae. The transcript is spliced from 3 exons. The record is from RefSeq and is a predicted model, not a curated record.